RNAcentral lists this ribosomal RNA (468 nucleotides) under uncultured bacterium. RNAcentral's name for it is "partial 16S ribosomal RNA". It matches the Rfam family "Bacterial small subunit ribosomal RNA", at positions 28 to 507 of the family's 1533-position model. The record is from RNAcentral.
GACGAACGCUGGCGGCGUGCUUAACACAUGCCAGUCGAACGGAAAGGCCCUGCUUUUGUGGGGUGCUCGAGUGGCGAACGGGUGAGUAACACGUGAGUAACCUGCCCUUGACUUUGGGAUAACUUCAGGAAACUGGGGCUAAUACCGGAUAGGAGCUCCUGCUGCAUGGUGGGGGUUGGAAAGUUUCGGCGGGUGGGGAUGGACUCGCGGCUUAUCAGCUUGUUGGUGGGGUAGUGGCUUACCAAGGCUUUGACGGGUAGCCGGCCUGAGAGGGUGACCGGCCACAUUGGGCCUGAGAUACGGACCAGACUCCUACGGGAGGCAGCAGGGGGGAAUAUUGCACAAUGGGCGGAAGCCUGAUGCAGCAACGCCGCGUGCGGGAUGACGGCCUUCGGGUUGUAAAACGCUUUCGGCUGUGACGAAGCGUGAGUGACGGUAAUGGGUAAAGAAGCACCGGCUAACUACGUG